RNAcentral lists this ribosomal RNA (229 nucleotides) under uncultured bacterium. RNAcentral's name for it is "partial 16S ribosomal RNA". It matches the Rfam family "Bacterial small subunit ribosomal RNA", at positions 568 to 796 of the family's 1533-position model. The record is from RNAcentral.
UGCGUAGGCGGUAAAUCAAGUCAGAUGUGAAAUUCCCAGGCUUAACUUGGGGCGUGCAUUUGAAACUGGUUUACUUGAGUAAAGAAGAGGUAAGUGGAAUUCCUAGUGUAGCGGUGGAAUGCGUAGAUAUUAGGAGGAACACCAGUGGCGAAGGCGACUUACUGGUCUUUUACUGACGCUGAGGCACGAAAGCGUGGGGAGCAAACAGGAUUAGAUACCCUGGUAGUCC